This 273-nucleotide ribosomal RNA is filed under the name uncultured bacterium. RNAcentral's name for it is "partial 16S ribosomal RNA". It matches the Rfam family "Bacterial small subunit ribosomal RNA", at positions 524 to 784 of the family's 1533-position model. The record is from RNAcentral.
CACGGGGGAGGCAAGACGUUGUUCGGUAAGUACACUGGGCGGUAAAGGGACGGUGUAGGCGGUCAGGUAAGUAGGGAGUGUGAAAUAGCCCCGGCCUCACCCGGGGACCGGGCAUCCCAAACUGCCUGGCUUGAGUAUGGGAGAGGAUGAGGGAAUUCCUGGUGUAGCGGUGAAAUGCGUAGAUAUCAGGAGGAACACCGGUGGCGAAGGCGCUCAUCUGGCCCAAUACUGACGCUGAGGCGCGAAAGCUAGGGGAGCAAACGGGAUUAGAAA